GAUGAACGCUGGCGGCGUGCCUAAUACAUGCAAGUCGAGCGAACAGACGAGGAGCUUGCUUCUCUGACGUUAGCGGCGGACGGGUGAGUAACACGUGGAUAACCUACCUAUAAGACUGGGAUAACUUCGGGAAACCGGAGCUAAUACCGGAUAAUAUAUUGAACCGCAUGGUUCAAUAGUGAAAGACGGUUUUGCUGUCACUUAUAGAUGGAUCCGCGCCGCAUUAGCUAGUUGGUAAGGUAACGGCUUACCAAGGCAACGAUGCGUAGCCGACCUGAGAGGGUGAUCGGCCACACUGGAACUGAGACACGGUCCAGACUCCUACGGGAGGCAGCGGUAGGGAAUCUUCCGCAAUGGGCGAAAGCCUGACGGAGCAACGCCGCGUGAGUGAUGAAGGUCUUCGGAUCGUAAAACUCUGUUAUUAGGGAAGAACAAAUGUGUAAGUAACUAUGCACGUCCUGACGGUACCUAAUCAGAAAGCCACGGCUAACUACGUG
RNAcentral lists this ribosomal RNA (497 nucleotides) under uncultured bacterium. RNAcentral's name for it is "partial 16S ribosomal RNA". It matches the Rfam family "Bacterial small subunit ribosomal RNA", at positions 28 to 507 of the family's 1533-position model. The record is from RNAcentral.